UACAUGACGCAUGCGGUGCGUCACAUUUGUGUCAUAUACAUGACGCAUGCGGUGUGUCGCCUUUGUAUCUUAUACAUGACGCACGCGGUGCGUCGCCUUUGUAUCCCAUACAUGACGCAUGCGGUGCGUCGCCUUUGUAUCGUAUACAUGACGCAUGCGGUGCGUCGCCCUUGUAUACUAUACGAGACGCAUGCGGUGCGUCAUCCUUGUAUACAAUACGAGACGCAUACGAUGCGUCCUUCGUUAGAUCGCAUAAAUAGCACAAGACGCACAGGGUGCGUCGCCGGUGUUGAACACGCAAAGUUAUGGCUCGUGAUGAAGAUAACGAGUUACGGAAGAGAACGUGCUCGUUCUGUGUUACGCAACAGGCCGUUAUCGUAAUUCCACUAUCGUUUCAACAUUUUUUUUUUCCAGAAAAGUAAUGUAUACUUAAGCGCCAAGCUUCGAUGAUCGAUCGGGAUAACGACAUUUCGAGAGAACCUCGACCAGUUCGUACCGUAGGCGGUGCUCUACAUUUUCACCAAGGCUCCCGUUCAGCGUCAGACUUUCCUGACACGUUCCUUGUCAGGUUUCCCGACUUUGCGUUAUGUGAUGCAAUCACGCGCGGUACACGUUUCGCCUCCAUCUCACGAGACGGAUGAUGAACGACACCAGCACUUCGUCACUUCACGUGCCCGAUGUCUCCGGUUUCCUGAUUAAUUUCAGCCGUUUCUCCGUAACCGAGGAGUUCAGUCGUAACCCUUUCGUUACUACAAGUGCGAUACAAAGUGUGCAAUAUUUUUGGGGAGGCUGGAAAUAGUCGUGCUCGAGGCUUCGCGUGUGUCAACGUUGAACCAUCGAGUGGUGUUAUUCGGUGUUCGUUAUAGAUUUAAAAAGAACUGUAUUUAAAUUUAAAAAAUUCCAGUCAGAGAUAUAAAUGCUCGAGUAGCGCAGAAUUAAAAUUAGCAAAGUAAUAGCAAUAGAGUUUGUCUUAUAUAACAAGGAAUCUAUAGCAGCGAAUCUCCAUGAGAAACACACCAUCUUGUCAUAAGAUGAAAUAACAGAUCGUUUCACAGAAGUGUAAUUGAACUUUUCAGCGAAUGGAAAUUCAAACCUGCGAAUCACGUAGAAAGGAGGACGUUUCUCAAACACCUUUGGGAAUUAUAGAAGAAAACACGGUUGGAGAAUGAUAAGAAGGAAACACAAUGCCAAAAUACAAUUAUUGUUAUAAAUCAUCGAUGGUGACACUUCGCGAGUUCGAUACAUUUAUCGCGAUUCGAAGGGAUGAAGGUUCAACCGGCGUCCAGCAGCAUGGUUCCGCGUGUUCUUCGGACGAAGGGCGAAGCGAAAUGGAGGAAACGGAAGUGAAUGCCGUGCUGCUGUACGAUACACUGGCGGUUGGCUUCGAUUUUCCUGCGACUGUGCAGCUGAAACGAUUUUACGUCGACCCCUGCCCACCCUCCUGCGCGCGCUUUCCACCCCCUCUUUACACCUAUUCUUCAUUCCUCCUUUGCAUUUUUUUUUUUCUUUAAUCGUUUUUCAGUCAUUUAACUCAAUAUAAUUUCAUUCUUUUUCAUAGCUGUUGAUCACUAUACAACGAUUGAUUCUUCUUCUAAAAAAGUAGGAAAUAUAAUAUGUUUUUCUCGAUUUUCGGAUGGCGGACCAUGGAGAGAGACCUCCAAGACGGCGGACCAUGGAGAGAGUCACAAUUCUAAU
Molecule: long non-coding RNA, 1695 nt
Organism: Osmia bicornis bicornis
Lineage: Eukaryota; Metazoa; Arthropoda; Insecta; Hymenoptera; Megachilidae
Exons: 4
Source: RefSeq, a predicted model, not a curated record